Molecule: ribosomal RNA, 253 nt
Filed under: uncultured bacterium
Lineage: Bacteria
Description: partial 16S ribosomal RNA
Rfam family: Bacterial small subunit ribosomal RNA
Source: RNAcentral
UACGUAGGGCGCAAGCGUUGUUCGGAAUUACUGGGCGUAAAGGGCUCGUAGGCGGCCAACUAAGUCAGACGUGAAAUCCCUCGGCUUAACCGGGGAACUGCGUCUGAUACUGGAUGGCUUGAGAUUGGGAGAGGGAUGCGGAAUUCCAGGUGUAGCGGUGAAAUGCGUAGAUAUCUGGAGGAACACCGGUGGCGAAGGCGACAUCCUGGACCAACACUGACGCUGAGGAGCGAAAGCCAGGGGAGCAAACGGG